This is an RNA transcript of Erinaceus europaeus (western European hedgehog), 1965 nucleotides long. It is a transcript of the gene named proline rich membrane anchor 1, with no coding region annotated. NCBI's taxonomy places the organism in Eukaryota, Metazoa, Chordata, Mammalia, Eulipotyphla, Erinaceidae. The record is from RefSeq and is a predicted model, not a curated record. The transcript is spliced from 6 exons.
CCCAGGGUGAGCCCGAGGCCCCGCCUAGAGGGCGGGGGGCAGGAGGCGCCGGGCUUUAAAUGGGGCGUCCGGCCGGGGUGGCGAGGCGCUGCGGCCGAGGGGGAGCAAACCGGCCAUCCCCGCCGAGGGGCCAGCGGGCCAGUCGCCGAGGGAGCGCGGGCGCCGGGCCGACAUGCCGCCGGGGGACCGGGAGCUGCGCCGCGGCCGCUGGCCCUCGCUGCUGCUGCACUGCGCGCUCCACCGGCUCUGGGGCUUCCUGCAGGUGACACACGGGGAGCCCCAGAAGUCCUGCUCCAAGGUGACCAACAGCUGCCAGCACGUCUGCCAGUGCCGGCCCCCUCCCCCGCUGCCCCCGCCGCCCCCACCGCCGCCGCCCCCCAGACUCCUCUCCCCUCCAGCCCCAGGCUCUACCUCGUGCCCUGUGGAAGAGAGCUGGAGGUCCGGCCUGGCCAUCAUCAUUGCGAUUUGCUGCGCCUCCCUGGUGUUCCUCACCGUGCUGGUCAUCACCUGCUACAAAGCCAUCAAGAGGAAACCACUGAGGAAAGCAGAGAACGGCACAGGCGUUGCCGAGUACCCCAUGAGCUCCUCGCCCGGCGGCAAAGGCGUGGACAUGAACAGCGCCGUGGUAUGAGCAAGGGCCCCGUGGCGCUGGUGGGCAUGGCGGCGCAGGGGGGCACAAGCUGACCCCGGGCUUGUCCAGGGAUUCAUCGCCUCACGAAGACACGUCCUCCUUCCAGCCUCGUGCCCGGCCUAUGGGUGGGGAUGGCAAGCCCCCUGCAUGCACCCCCACCCGGGAGCACCCCGCCCAAGGCCCCACUCCCUGAGCUGGGCUUGCGUUCCAUCCGCUGGCUGAGUCCCACCUACUUUCUGCAGCAGAGACAGGGCGUGUCUGUCUGUCCAUCUGUCUGCUGGGAUGGAGAGGCAUCCCCUGUAGGCAGACAGGUGGCUGGGGUGUCCUCCGUUGGCAGAAGGCCCCCCAUGUCCCCCAGAGACUCACCUGCUUCCGCCUGUCCACAUGGUUCCCAACAGCCACGAGACACCUCCUUCUAAGGUGCUCCCCAGACUCCCGCCCGCCCUCCUGUGCUGGUCUGUGGCCUCGGGGCCUGUCUUCCCUGUCCGCUCCACUCUGGCCCGGGGACCCAUUCUGCCUCCCUGCCACGGAGGACUGAGCCCAGCCUGCAGAGUUCCCCCCGACGGGGCAGAGGAGCCCCUCCCCACAUAGGGGCUGUGCCUGGCCUUUGGGGAGGGUGGGGCACAUGCACCCCCACCUGUGCCCAGCCUCAUCCCCACACCUGACACCAGGCUGUGAGCCACGCCACGCCCACACCCCACAGAGGCCACCCCAGGUGCCACCACCCCUGCAAGACUGGGCUGGAGGCCAGGCCUCCUGCCUUCCAAUGGCCACCUUGAAAUGUCUCUUUCUGGGGGUCUCAUGGUCUACAAGGGCAUGUGCUUCAGGUUGCCAGUGGGCUGGGCAGGGAGGCUUCAGACCUGUGUCCAGGGCGCCCCGCAGACGCAGGGGGGCUGGGCCUUGAGACCCUCUGUCCCUCGGCCCCGUGCCAGCGCACGCCAGGCUCCAGGAGAGCAGAGGGGACAGCGGGCCCACUGUCACGCCCCCCACGGGUGCAGGCCUAGGCGCACCCUCUCAGGAAGGCUGCCAUCUUGCAGGCCUUGGGUGCAGCUUGAGUGUGCUCCUCUCCCCCAGGGCACUGUGCCACCGUCCUGCGGCCAUCUCCUGCCCCCGCUUGGCCCAGGCCUCCGAGCUCUGCGUGUGAACUAAGCACUGACCUGCUUCCUGCGGCCCUGAGGCCCAGUGGCUCCACCUCAGUGGCAUGUGCCCACCGGCCACCGAUGCCAACAGCGUGCCGAGACUACCGGAAGCAGGGCCGGCGGCUGGGCUGUGAGCUGCUCGUGAGGACCGGGGCACCACGCCGUUUUUAUUUUCAAUAAAAACGUACUUAUAAA